CCUACGGGGGGCUGCAGUGAGGAAUAUUGGUCAAUGGACGAGAGUCUGAACCAGCCAAGUCGCGUGAAGGAUGACUGCCCUAUGGGUUGUAAACUUCUGUUAUAUGGGAAUAAAAUGUUCCACGUGUGGGAUUUUGUAUGUACCAUAUGAAUAAGGAUCGGCUAACUCCGUGCCAGCAGCCGCGGUAAUACGGAGAAUCCGAGCGUUAUCCGGAUUUAUUGGGUGUAAAGGGAGCGUAGAGGGGUUGUUAAGUCAGUUGUGAAAGCUUGGGGCUCAACCGUAAAAGUGCACUUGAUACUGGCAGUCUUUAGUACAGGUGAGGGAGGCGGAAUGCGCGGUGUAGCGGUGAAAUGCUUAGAUAUCACGAAGAACUCCGAUGGCGAAGGCAGCUUACCAAACUGCCACUGACGUUGAGGCACGAAAGUGUGGGUAUCAAACAGGAUUAGAUACCCGGGUAGUC
This 460-nucleotide ribosomal RNA is filed under the name uncultured bacterium. RNAcentral's name for it is "partial 16S ribosomal RNA". It matches the Rfam family "Bacterial small subunit ribosomal RNA", at positions 338 to 795 of the family's 1533-position model. The record is from RNAcentral.